CCUACGGGCGGCAGCAGUGGGGAAUAUUUCGCAAUGGGCGAAAGCCUGACGCAGCGACGCCGCGUGAGGGAUGAAGGUCUUCGGAUCGUAAACCUCUGUCAGCAGGGAAGAACGGUCACUGUGCUAAUCAGCAGUGAAUUGACGGUACCUGCAAAGAAAGCCCCGGCUAACUCCGUGCCAGCAGCCGCGGUAAUCCGGAGGGUGCGAGCGUUAAUCGGAAUUACUUGGCGUAAAGCGCUCGUAGGCGGUAUGUUAAGUCAAGGGUGAAAUCCCCGCGAUCAAAGGGGGAACUGCCUUUGAAACUGGCAAACUGGAGUGUGUGAGAGGAUAGUGGAAUUCCAGGUGUAGGAGUGAAAUCCGUAGAUAUCUGGAGGAACAUCAGUGGCGAAGGCGACUAUCUGGCACAUAACUGACGCUGAGGAGCGAAAGCGUGGGUAGCAAACAGGAUUAGAUACCCGUGUAGUC
RNAcentral lists this ribosomal RNA (465 nucleotides) under uncultured bacterium. RNAcentral's name for it is "partial 16S ribosomal RNA". It matches the Rfam family "Bacterial small subunit ribosomal RNA", at positions 338 to 795 of the family's 1533-position model. The record is from RNAcentral.